RNAcentral lists this microRNA precursor (85 nucleotides) under Heterocephalus glaber (naked mole-rat). RNAcentral's name for it is "mir-544 microRNA precursor family". It matches the Rfam family "mir-544 microRNA precursor family". The record is from Rfam by way of RNAcentral. Lineage: Eukaryota; Metazoa; Chordata; Mammalia; Rodentia; Bathyergidae.
ACCCUCUGGGGAUCUUGUUAAGAUGCAGAUUCUGUUCCAGAGGUCUGAGAUUCUGCAUUUCUAUCAAGCUCCCUGAGGGUAUUGA